This 955-nucleotide ribosomal RNA is filed under the name Pseudomonas sp. LM2. RNAcentral describes it as "bacterial SSU rRNA". It matches the Rfam family "Bacterial small subunit ribosomal RNA", at positions 1 to 955 of the family's 1533-position model. The record is from RNAcentral. Lineage: Bacteria; Pseudomonadati; Pseudomonadota; Gammaproteobacteria; Pseudomonadales; Pseudomonadaceae.
AUUAGAGUUUGAUCCUGGCUCAGAUUGAACGCUGGCGGCAGGCCUAACACAUGCAAGUCGAGCGGAUGAAGGGAGCUUGCUCCCGGAUUCAGCGGCGGACGGGUGAGUAAUGCCUAGGAAUCUGCCUGGUAGUGGGGGACAACGUUCCGAAAGGAGCGCUAAUACCGCAUACGUCCUACGGGAGAAAGCGGGGGAUCUUCGGACCUCACGCUAUCAGAUGAGCCUAGGUCGGAUUAGCUAGUAGGUGGGGUAAUGGCUCACCUAGGCGACGAUCCGUAACUGGUCUGAGAGGAUGAUCAGUCACACUGGAACUGAGACACGGUCCAGACUCCUACGGGAGGCAGCAGUGGGGAAUAUUGGACAAUGGGCGAAAGCCUGAUCCAGCCAUGCCGCGUGUGUGAAGAAGGUCUUCGGAUUGUAAAGCACUUUAAGUUGGGAGGAAGGGCAGUAAGUUAAUACCUUGCUGUUUUGACGUUACCAACAGAAUAAGCACCGGCUAACUUCGUGCCAGCAGCUGCGGUAAUACGAAGGGUGUAAGCGUUAAUCGGAAUUACUGGGCGUAAAGCGCGCGUAGGUGGUUUGGUAAGAUGGAUGUGAAAUCCCCGGGCUCAACCUGGGAACUGCAUCCAUAACUGCCUGACUAGAGUACGGUAGAGGGUGGUGGAAUUUCCUGUGUAGCGGUGAAAUGCGUAGAUAUAGGAAGGAACACCAGUGGCGAAGGCGACCACCUGGACUGAUACUGACACUGAGGUGCGAAAGCGUGGGGAGCAAACAGGAUUAGAUACCCUGGUAGUCCACGCCGUAAACGAUGUCGACUAGCCGUUGGGAUCCUUGAGAUCUUAGUGGCGCAGCUAACGCGAUAAGUCGACCGCCUGGGGGAGUACGGCCGCAAGGUUAAAACUCAAUGAAUUGACGGGGGCCCGCACAGGCGGUGGGAGCAUGUGGUUAAUUCGAA